UGAAGGGAGCUUGCUCCUGGAUUCAGCGGCGGACGGGUGAGUAAUGCCUAGGAAUCUGCCUGGUAGUGGGGGAUAACGUCCGGAAACGGGCGCUAAUACCGCAUACGUCCUGAGGGAGAAAGUGGGGGAUCUUCGGACCUCACGCUAUCAGAUGAGCCUAGGUCGGAUUAGCUAGUUGGUGGGGUAAAGGCCUACCAAGGCGACGAUCCGUAACUGGUCUGAGAGGAUGAUCAGUCACACUGGAACUGAGACACGGUCCAGACUCCUACGGGAGGCAGCAGUGGGGAAUAUUGGACAAUGGGCGAAAGCCUGAUCCAGCCAUGCCGCGUGUGUGAAGAAGGUCUUCGGAUUGUAAAGCACUUUAAGUUGGGAGGAAGGGCAGUAAGUUAAUACCUUGCUGUUUUGACGUUACCAACAGAAUAAGCACCGGCUAACUUCGUGCCAGCAGCCGCGGUAAUACGAAGGGUGCAAGCGUUAAUCGGAAUUACUGGGCGUAAAGCGCGCGUAGGUGGUUCAGCAAGUUGGAUGUG
Molecule: ribosomal RNA, 530 nt
Filed under: Pseudomonas aeruginosa
Lineage: Bacteria; Pseudomonadati; Pseudomonadota; Gammaproteobacteria; Pseudomonadales; Pseudomonadaceae
Description: bacterial SSU rRNA
Rfam family: Bacterial small subunit ribosomal RNA
Source: RNAcentral